GGGCGUAAAGCGAGCGCAGGCGGUUUUUUAAGUCUGAUGUGAAAGCCUUCGGCUCAACCGAAGAAGUGCAUCGGAAACUGGGAAACUUGAGUGCAGAAGAGGACAGUGGAACUCCAUGUGUAGCGGUGAAAUGCGUAGAUAUAUGGAAGAACACCAGUGGCGAAGGCGGCUGUCUGGUCUGUAACUGACGCUGAGGCUCGAAAGUAUGGGUAGCAAACAGGAUUAGAUACCCUGGUAGUCCAUACCGUAAACGAUGAAUGCUAAGUGUUGGAGGGUUUCCGCCCUUCAGUGCUGCAGCUAACGCAUUAAGCAUUCCGCCUGGGGAGUACGGCCGCAAGGCUGAAACUCAAAGGAAUUGACGGGGGCCCGCACAAGCGGUGGAGCAUGUGGUUUAAUUCGAAGCUACGCGAAGAACCUUACCAGGUCUUGACAUACUAUGCAAAUCUAAGAGAUUAGACGUUCCCUUCGGGGACAUGGAUACAGGUGGUGCAUGGUUGUCGUCAGCUCGUGUCGUGAGAUGUUGGGUUAAGUCCCGCAACGAGCGCAACCCUUAUUAUCAGUUGCCAGCAUUAAGUUGGGCACUCUGGUGAGACUGCCGGUGACAAACCGGAGGAAGGUGGGGAUGACGUCAAAUCAUCAUGCCCCUUAUGACCUGGGCUACACACGUGCUACAAUGGAUGGUACAACGAGUUGCGAACUCGCGAGAGUAAGCUAAUCUCUUAAAGCCAUUCUCAGUUCGGAUUGUAGGCUGCAACUCGCCUACAUGAAGUCGGAAUCGCUAGUAAUCGCGGAUCAGCAUGCCGCGGUGAAUACGUUCCCGGGCCUUGUACACACCGCCCGUCACACCAUGAGAGUUUGUAACACCCAAAGUCGGUGGGGUAAUCCUUUUAGGAACCAGCCGCCUAAGGUGGGACAGAUGAUUAGGGUGAAGUCGUAAC
This 938-nucleotide ribosomal RNA is filed under the name Lactiplantibacillus plantarum. Its description in RNAcentral is "bacterial SSU rRNA". It matches the Rfam family "Bacterial small subunit ribosomal RNA", at positions 556 to 1492 of the family's 1533-position model. Lineage: Bacteria; Bacillati; Bacillota; Bacilli; Lactobacillales; Lactobacillaceae. The record is from RNAcentral.